This 954-nucleotide ribosomal RNA is filed under the name Triticum aestivum (bread wheat). RNAcentral's name for it is "partial small subunit ribosomal RNA". The record is from RNAcentral. Lineage: Eukaryota; Viridiplantae; Streptophyta; Magnoliopsida; Poales; Poaceae.
UCAGAUGACAAGGAGAAGCCAACGCAUUUGAGGUUUCUGGUGUCUAAUACAGCAGCAGGAUGUAUUAUUGGCAAGGGUGGUUCAACUAUUAAUGACUUCCAAUCUCAGUCUGGGGCUCGUAUUCAAUUAUCGCGCAGCCAUGAGUUUUUCCCUGGUACAAAUGACAGAAUCAUCAUGGUCUCUGGACUGUUUGACGAAGUAGUUAAGGCCAUGGAGUUGGUUCUUGAGAAACUCUUAUCAGAGGGGGAAGAAUCUAAUGAAGCUGAAGCUAGGCCUAAAUUUAGACUUGUAGUUCCUAACAGCUCAUGUGGUGGAAUUAUUGGUAAAGGAGGAGCAACAAUCAAGUCAUUUAUUGAAGAUUCACAUGCUGGAAUCAAGAUUUCACCACAGGACAACAACUUUGUUGGUUUGCAUGAUAGGCUUGUUACUAUCACAGGACCCUUAAACAGUCAGAUGCGAGCCAUACAUUUGAUAUUAAGCAAAUUGUCUGAGGAUGUUCACUACCCACCGAAUUUGAGUUCCCCAUUUCCAUAUGCAGGCCUUGGUUUCCCUAGUUACCCUGCGGCUGUUCCUGUUGGCUAUAUGAUUCCACAGGUGCCAUAUAAUAAUGCUGUGAACUAUGGACCUAAUGGGUAUGCUGCUGGUGGUGGUGGUGGUGGAAGGUACCAAAACAACAAGCCUGGUACACCUGUUAGAUCACCUGCUAAUAAUGAUGCCCAAGAAUCACACACCAUAGGUGUUGCUGACGAACACAUCGGUGCAGUUGUAGGGCGUGCAGGAAGGAACAUAACAGAGAUCAUUCAGGCUAGUGGUGCCAGGAUUAAGAUAUCAGAUAGGGGCGAUUUCAUACCUGGCACAUCUGACAGGAAAGUGACGAUAACUGGAACAUCAGAGGCCAUCCAGGCGGCCGAGGCGAUGAUCAUGCAGAGGGUGACGGCCAGUCAGGAGAGGUGA